RNAcentral lists this transfer RNA (62 nucleotides) under Nepa hoffmanni. RNAcentral's name for it is "tRNA-Gly". The record is from RNAcentral. Lineage: Eukaryota; Metazoa; Arthropoda; Insecta; Hemiptera; Nepidae.
AUUCUCUUAUUAUAAAAAGUAUAUUUGACUUCCAAUCAAAAAGUCUCAUAAGAGAGAGAAUA